RNAcentral lists this ribosomal RNA (652 nucleotides) under Geothelphusa albogilva. Its description in RNAcentral is "SSU rRNA". It matches the Rfam family "Eukaryotic small subunit ribosomal RNA", at positions 685 to 1332 of the family's 1831-position model. Lineage: Eukaryota; Metazoa; Arthropoda; Malacostraca; Decapoda; Potamidae. The record is from RNAcentral.
CAGCCAUAACAGCCCGCUGGCUCGCACGGGGUGCUCUUCAUCGAGUGUCCCGCGUGGCCGGCAGAGUUUACUUUGAAAAAAUUAGAGUGCUCAAAGCAGGCUACACUGACGGCCUGAAUGCCUAUGCAUGGAAUAAUGGAAUAGGACCUCGGUUCUAUUUUGUCGGUUUUCUGAACCCGAGGUAAUGACUAAUAGGAACAGGCGGGGGCAUUCGUAUUGCGACGCUAGAGGUGAAAUUCUUGGACCGUCGCAAGACGAACUACUGCGAAAGCAUUUGCCAAGGAUGUUUUCAUUAAUCAAGAACGAAAGUUAGAGGUUCGAAGGCGAUCAGAUACCGCCCUAGUUCUAACCAUAAACGAUGCUGACCAGCGAUCCGCCGGCGUUAUUCCCAUGACCCGGCGGGCAGCUUCCGGGAAACCAAAGUCUUUGGGUUCCGGGGGAAGUAUGGUUGCAAAGCUGAAACUUAAAGGAAUUGACGGAAGGGCACCACCAGGAGUGGAGCCUGCGGCUUAAUUUGACUCAACACGGGGAACCUCACCAGGCCCAGACACCGGAAGGAUUGACAGAUUGAGAGCUCUUUCUCGAUUCGGUGGGUGGUGGUGCAUGGCCGUUCUUAGUUGGUGGAGCGAUUUGUCUGGUUAAUUCCGAUAAC